GACGAACGCUGGCGGCGUGCUUAACACAUGCAAGUCGAACGGAAAGGCCCUGCUUUUGUGGGGUGCUCGAGUGGCGAAAGGGUGAGUAACACGUGAGUAACCUGCCCUUGACUUUGGGAUAACUUCAGGAAACUGGGGCUAAUACCGGAUAGGAGCUCCUGCUGCAUUGUGGGGGGUGGAAAGUUUUGGCUGUUGGGGAUGGACUCGCGGCUUAUCAGCUUGUUGGUGGGGUAGUGGCUUACCAAGGCUUUGACGGGUAGCCGGCCUGAGAGGGUGACCGGCCACAUUGGGACUGAGAUACGGCCCAGACUCCUACGGGAGGCAGCAGUGGGGAAUAUUGCACAAUGGGCGGAAGCCUGAUGCAGCAACGCCGCGUGCGGGAUGACGGCCUUCGGGUUGUAAACCGCUUUCGCCUGUGACGAAGCGUGAGUGACGGUAAUGGGUAAAGAAGCACCGGCUAACUACGUG
Molecule: ribosomal RNA, 468 nt
Filed under: uncultured bacterium
Lineage: Bacteria
Description: partial 16S ribosomal RNA
Rfam family: Bacterial small subunit ribosomal RNA
Source: RNAcentral